UACGUAGGCGGAAAAUUAAGUCAGUAGUGAAAUCCUGCAGCUUAACUGUAGAACUGUUAUUGAUACUGGUUUUCUUGAAUAUAGUUGAGGUAGGCGGAAUGUGUAAUGUAGCGGUGAAAUGCUUAGAUAUUACACAGAACACCGAUUGCGAAGGCAGCUUACUAAGCUAUGAUUGACGCUGAGGUACGAAGCGUGGGGAGCGAACAGGAUUAGAUACCCUGGUAGUCC
Molecule: ribosomal RNA, 228 nt
Filed under: uncultured bacterium
Lineage: Bacteria
Description: partial 16S ribosomal RNA
Rfam family: Bacterial small subunit ribosomal RNA
Source: RNAcentral